Molecule: ribosomal RNA, 497 nt
Filed under: uncultured bacterium
Lineage: Bacteria
Description: partial 16S ribosomal RNA
Rfam family: Bacterial small subunit ribosomal RNA
Source: RNAcentral
GAUGAACGCUGGCGGCGUGCCUAAUACAUGCAAGUCGAGCGAACGGACGAGAAGCUUGCUUCUCUGAUGUUAGCGGCGGACGGGUGAGUAACACGUGGAUAACCUCCCUAUAAGACUGGGAUAACUUCGGGAAACCGGAGCUAAUACCGGAUAAUAUUUUGAACCGCAUGGUUCAAAAGUGAAAGACGGUCUUGCUGUCACUUAUAGAUGGAUCCGCGCUGCACUAGCUAGUUGGUAAGUUAACGGCUUACCAAGGCAACGAUGCAUAGCCGACCUGAGAGGGGGAUCGGCCACACUGGAACUGGGACACGGGCCAGACUCCUACGGGAGGCAGCAGUAGGGAAUCUUCCGCAAUGGGCGAAAGCCUGACGGAGCAACGCCGCGUGAGUGAUGAAGGUCUUCGGAUCGUAAAACUCUGUUAUUAGGGAAGAACAUAUGUGUAAGUAACUGUGCACAUCUUGACGGUACCUAAUCAGAAAGCCACGGCUAACUACGUG